Molecule: ribosomal RNA, 312 nt
Filed under: Triticum aestivum (bread wheat)
Lineage: Eukaryota; Viridiplantae; Streptophyta; Magnoliopsida; Poales; Poaceae
Description: partial small subunit ribosomal RNA
Source: RNAcentral
AUGGAGCAAGUGACGAAGCUAGCGGGGCAGCGGGCCGUGGUGAUCUUCGGCACGAGCUCCUGCUGCAUGUGCCACACGGUGACGAGCCUCCUCCGGGAUCUCGGGGCAAACCCCACGGUGGUGGAACUGGACGAGGACCCUUGGGGGAAGGAGAUGGAGAAGGCGCUGGCGCGGCUCAUCGGACGGAACCCUGCCGUGCCGGCGGUGUUCAUCGGCGGCAGGCUCGUCGGAUGCACCGACAAGGUCAUGUCCCUUCACCUCAGCGGCAAACUGGUCCCGCUGCUUCGUAAUGCAGGUGCUGUCUGGGUGUAG